GAUGAACGCUGGCGGCGUGCCUAAUACAUGCAAGUCGAGCGAACAGACGAGGAGCUUGCUCCUCUGACGUUAGCCGCGGACGGGUGAGUAACACGUGGAUAACCUACCUAUAAGACUGGGAUAACUUCGGGAAACCGGAGCUAAUACCGGAUAAUAUAUUGAACCGCAUGGUUCAAUAGUGAAAGACGGUUUUGCUGUCACUUAUAGAUGGAUCCGCGCCGCAUUAGCUAGUUGGUAAGGUAACGGCUUACCAAGGCAACGAUGCGUAGCCGACCUGAGAGGGGGAUCGGCCACACGGGAACUGGGACACGGUCCAGACGCCUACGGGAGGCAGCAGUAGGGAAUCUUCCGCAAUGGGCGAAAGCCUGACGGAGCAACGCCGCGUGAGUGAUGAAGGUCUUCGGAUCGUAAAACUCUGUUAUUAGUGAAGAACAAAUGUGUAAGUAACUAUGCACGUCUUGACGGUACCUAAUCAGAAAGCCACGGCUAACUACGUG
Molecule: ribosomal RNA, 497 nt
Filed under: uncultured bacterium
Lineage: Bacteria
Description: partial 16S ribosomal RNA
Rfam family: Bacterial small subunit ribosomal RNA
Source: RNAcentral